AACCGUGUACGUACAAGCAGUGGGAGCCCCACCACUAAGCCAGUGGUGAACUCCACAUACGCAUCCUUUGCUGAGGAUACGGUUAACGGAGCGAAAGCGACGUUCAACCGCAAAAGAAGCAGAGGGGGCUUAGUGGUGGGGUGACUGCGUACCUUUUGUAUAAUGGGUCAGCGACUUAUAUUCUGUAGCAAGGUUAACCGUAU
Molecule: ribosomal RNA, 203 nt
Filed under: Salmonella enterica subsp. enterica
Lineage: Bacteria; Pseudomonadati; Pseudomonadota; Gammaproteobacteria; Enterobacterales; Enterobacteriaceae
Description: partial 23S ribosomal RNA
Source: RNAcentral